This 253-nucleotide ribosomal RNA is filed under the name uncultured bacterium. RNAcentral describes it as "partial 16S ribosomal RNA". It matches the Rfam family "Bacterial small subunit ribosomal RNA", at positions 524 to 776 of the family's 1533-position model. The record is from RNAcentral.
UACGGGGGGAGCAAGCGUUGUUCGGAAUCACUGGGCGUAAAGCGCACGUAGGCGGAUUUGUAAGUCAGGGGUGAAAUCCCGGGGCUCAACCUCGGAACUGCCUUUGAUACUGCAAAUCUCGAGUCCGAUAGAGGUGGGUGGAAUUCCUAGUGUAGAGGUGAAAUUCGUAGAUAUUAGGAAGAACACCGGUGGCGAAGGCGGCCCACUGGAUCGGUACUGACGCUGAGGUGCGAAAGCGUGGGGAGCAAACAGG